UGUCAGAUUAGCUAGUUGGUGGGGUAAAGGCCUACCAAGGCGACGAUCUGUAGCGGGUCUGAGAGGAUGAUCCGCCACACUGGAACUGAGACACGGUCCAGACUCUACGGGAGGCAGCAGUGGGGAAUUUUGGACAAUGGGCGCAAGCCUGAUCCAGCCAUGCCGCGUGAGUGAAGAAGGCUUCGGGUUGUAAAGCUCUUUCGGCCGGGAAGAAAUCGUACAGGUUAAUACCCUGUGCGGAUGACGGUACCGGCAUAAGAAGCACCGGCUAACUACGUGCCAGCAGCCGCGGUAAUACGUAGGGC
Molecule: ribosomal RNA, 305 nt
Filed under: uncultured Thiobacillus sp.
Lineage: Bacteria; Pseudomonadati; Pseudomonadota; Betaproteobacteria; Nitrosomonadales; Thiobacillaceae
Description: bacterial SSU rRNA
Rfam family: Bacterial small subunit ribosomal RNA
Source: RNAcentral